RNAcentral lists this ribosomal RNA (497 nucleotides) under uncultured bacterium. Its description in RNAcentral is "partial 16S ribosomal RNA". It matches the Rfam family "Bacterial small subunit ribosomal RNA", at positions 28 to 507 of the family's 1533-position model. The record is from RNAcentral.
GAUGAACGCUGGCGGCGUGCCUAAUACAUGCAAGUCGAGCGAACGGACGAGAAGCUUGCUUCUCUGAUGUUAGCGGCGGACGGGUGAGUAACACGUGGAUAACCUACCUAUAAGACUGGGAUAACUUCGGGAAACCGUAGCUAAUACCGGAUAAUAUUUUGAACCGCAUGGUUCAAAAGUGAAAGACGGUCUUGCUGUCACGUAUAGAUGGAUCCGCGCUUGAUUAGCUAGUUGGUAAGGUAACGGCUUACCAAGGCAACGAUGCAUAGCCGACCUGUGAGGGUGAUCGGCCACACUGGAACUGAGACACGGUCCAGACUCCUACGGGAGGCCGCAGUAGGGAAUCUUACGCAAUGGGCGAGAGCCUGACGGAGCGACGCCGCGUGAGUGAUGAAGGUCUUCGGAUCGUAAAGCUCUGUUAUUAGGGAAGAACAUAUGUGUAAGUAACUGCGCACAUCUUGACGGUACCUAAUAAGAAAGCCACGGCUAACUACGUG